UGACAAAGAACAUGGUGCUAUCUGGCA
RNAcentral lists this non-coding RNA (27 nucleotides) under Homo sapiens (human). The record is from RNAcentral. Lineage: Eukaryota; Metazoa; Chordata; Mammalia; Primates; Hominidae.